CCCAAACAACUAACUAAGCCUACAAUAUACAAAGUAUACAAUGAAUAUACGAUAAAUAUACAACCCAAUAUCAAUGUCUACAUUUAUGUUUAGGCUUAGAAGCUAGAUAAUCUUGUAGCUCAACACCCCCCCUCAAGUUGGAGGGGGAGACCACCUUCAACUUGACCAAUAGAGGAUGUAGGAUAGUCCCAGGUAGAGGCUUGGUGAGGAGGUCAGCUAGCUGUCGAGAGGUAGGGACAUGGGAGAGUGUAAUGAGCCCACUAGUCAGCUGAUCCCU
This 277-nucleotide long non-coding RNA is filed under the name Nicotiana benthamiana. RNAcentral describes it as "long non-coding RNA (NBEN_LNC021616)". Lineage: Eukaryota; Viridiplantae; Streptophyta; Magnoliopsida; Solanales; Solanaceae. The record is from RNAcentral.